GGGGAAUAUUGGACAAUGGGGGCAACCCUGAUCCAGCCAUGCCGCGUGAGUGAAGAAGGCCUUCGGGUUGUAAAGCUCUUUCGGCGGGGAAGAAAUGGCAACGGCUAAUAUCCGUUGUUGAUGACGGUACCCGCAUAAGAAGCAACGGCGAACUCCGUGCCAGCAGCCGCGGUAAUACGGAGGGUCAAGCGUUAAUCGGAAUUACUGGGCGUAAAGCGCACGUAGGCUGCUUUGUAAGUCAGGGGUGAAAUCCCACGGCUCAACCGUGGAACUGCCUUUGAUACUGCUUAGCUUGAAUCCGGGAGAGGGUGGCGGAAUUCCAGGUGUAGGAGUGAAAUCCGUAGAUAUCUGGAGGAACAUCAGUGGCGAAGGCGGCCACCUGGACCGGUAUUGACGCUGAGGUGCGAAAGCGUGGGGAGCAAACA
Molecule: ribosomal RNA, 425 nt
Filed under: uncultured Pseudomonadota bacterium
Lineage: Bacteria; Pseudomonadati; Pseudomonadota
Description: bacterial SSU rRNA
Rfam family: Bacterial small subunit ribosomal RNA
Source: RNAcentral